UACGGAGGAUCCGAGCGUUAUCCGGAUUUAUUGGGUUUAAAGGGUGCGUAGGCGGCCUGUUAAGUCAGGGGUGAAAGACGGUAGCUCAACUAUCGCAGUGCCCUUGAUACUGAUGGGCUUGAAUGUACUAGAGGUAGGCGGAAUGUGACAAGUAGCGGUGAAAUGCAUAGAUAUGUCACAGAACACCAAUUGCGAAGGCAGCUUACUAUGGUAUAAUUUGACGCUGAGGCACGAAAGCGUGGGGGAUCAAAACAGG
This 256-nucleotide ribosomal RNA is filed under the name uncultured bacterium. Its description in RNAcentral is "partial 16S ribosomal RNA". It matches the Rfam family "Bacterial small subunit ribosomal RNA", at positions 524 to 776 of the family's 1533-position model. The record is from RNAcentral.